UACGCAGGGACCGAGCGUUGUCCGGAAUCAUUGGGCGUAAAGAGCGUGUAGGCGGCUUGCUAAGUCUUGCGUGAAAUCUCGGGGCUCAACCCCGAGCGGUCGUGGGAAACUGGCAGGCUAGAGUGCGGGAGAGGAGAAUGGAAUUCCUGGUGUAGCGGUGAAAUGCGCAGAUAUCAGGAAGAACACCCGUGGCGAAGGCGGUUCUCUGGAACGCAACUGACGCUGAGACGCGAAAGCGUGGGGAGCAAACAGG
Molecule: ribosomal RNA, 253 nt
Filed under: uncultured bacterium
Lineage: Bacteria
Description: partial 16S ribosomal RNA
Rfam family: Bacterial small subunit ribosomal RNA
Source: RNAcentral